GGAAAACAGCCUUCCUGGUGCCCAAGGUUCUCAGUCUUGGCUGUUCUUGUUAGUCUGUCUACUGGCAUAGUGACGCUGAGGCUUGUGGAGCAUGACUGCUGUACCAGGUCUAGGAUGAGCUUUUCAAAGCCCAGCCACAGCCUUUCACAUGCACACUCACAGAUAAGGACAGAGAGGACACCAAUAGCCAGGAAAUCACAUGGUGCAGCACAGGCCAAAAUGGGAGUUGUGAGCUCUGCGUCUGCUGCCUGACGGCAGGACCUUUUGCCCCUGCCCAUCCCCAGGAUAUUGCUGGGAAAGUACUUCUUUGGAGCACCUUGCAGUGGUUCCUGUGAACUAGGUGGAAUGUCUGGAAGGACCUCAGACUUAUUCUGUGCCGAGCCUUGUGGGGCCACCCCUACCACCAUCUCUUUCUCCUCUCCGGUGGUUUCUGGACCUUCAAGGGCCCCUGGCCUGUGCCCAGGGCCUGCGUCUCAGAGCCCAGAGCUGAGCCCCUUUGCCAUCUGGUUUCUCAGGAGUGCUCCAAGGCCCACAGAUCCCUGACAGACCCCAGUGUUUCCAGAACCUGCCCAGGGUUCCCCUGCCAGUUAGAAUUCGAGCCAGAACUUCUUAGAGCCAAUCCUUCCAGCUUCCAAGUCAGAGUCUGAGAUGAGCCAGAGGAAGCCCACCCAGGAGCCCUGAGUCCCAGUGAUCGUCAGAAGCCCACCCCAUACCCAGUCACUCCUAGAGACUCUCUGGCUGGGCUCAUACUGGGCACUUGGUGUCCUUGCAAGAGGAGCUGGCUCCUUCCUCCUCAGAGGAAAUGAAGGAUGCAGGGGGUUCAUUAAGCAGGGUGCUCAGCUGUCCCUGUGGGCAGCAGGCUGAGAUCC
RNAcentral lists this long non-coding RNA (869 nucleotides) under Marmota monax (woodchuck). Lineage: Eukaryota; Metazoa; Chordata; Mammalia; Rodentia; Sciuridae. The record is from RNAcentral.